RNAcentral lists this ribosomal RNA (301 nucleotides) under uncultured bacterium. RNAcentral's name for it is "partial 16S ribosomal RNA". It matches the Rfam family "Bacterial small subunit ribosomal RNA", at positions 509 to 807 of the family's 1533-position model. The record is from RNAcentral.
CAGCAGCCACGGGAAUACGAAGGGGGCAAGCGUUGUUCGGAUUUACUGGGCGUAAAGCGUACGUAGGCGGAUAUUUAAGUCAGGGGUGAAAUCCCGAGGCUCAACCUCGGAACUGCCUUUGAUACUGGAUAUCUUGAGUCCGAGAGAGGUGAGUGGAACUCCUAGUGUAGAGGUGAAAUUCGUAGAUAUUAGGAAGAACACCAGUGGCGAAGGCGGCUCACUGGCUCGGAACUGACGCUGAGGUACGAAAGCGUGGGGAGCAAACAGGAUUAGAUACCCCAGUAGUCCCUGUCUCUUAUAC